Molecule: non-coding RNA, 253 nt
Organism: Podarcis lilfordi (Lilford's wall lizard)
Lineage: Eukaryota; Metazoa; Chordata; Lepidosauria; Squamata; Lacertidae
Source: the annotation of a GenBank genome assembly
UCACACACAUCCCAAGGCAAUGUACAAAAUGCAGUAAAAACAGCCAAAAAAACAGCUAAACACAACACAAAAAACAGAAGCAAAAAUAAAAUAAAAAACAAUACAAAGUACACCCAACAAGAUGAAUAGGUCUCUGCCUUGGGUGUAUUUUGUAUUGUUUUUAAAUAUUUUUGGCUUCUGUUUUUUGUGUUGCGUUUAGCUGUUUUUUGGCUUUUUUCCCUGCAUUUUGUACAUUGCCUUGGGAUGUGUGUGG